UCAAACGCACCUACGUGUUUGCGAUCAGC
RNAcentral lists this small RNA (29 nucleotides) under Bombyx mori (domestic silkworm). RNAcentral describes it as "ovarian small RNA-6718". The record is from RNAcentral. Lineage: Eukaryota; Metazoa; Arthropoda; Insecta; Lepidoptera; Bombycidae.